This 439-nucleotide ribosomal RNA is filed under the name uncultured Brevitalea sp. RNAcentral's name for it is "bacterial SSU rRNA". It matches the Rfam family "Bacterial small subunit ribosomal RNA", at positions 338 to 794 of the family's 1533-position model. The record is from RNAcentral. Lineage: Bacteria; Pseudomonadati; Acidobacteriota; Blastocatellia; Blastocatellales; Arenimicrobiaceae.
CCUACGGGGGGCAGCAGUGGGGAAUAUUGGACAAUGGGCGCAAGCCUGAUCCAGCCAUGCCGCGUGAGUGAUGAAGGUCUUAGGAUUGUAAAGCUCUUUCACCGGAGAAGAUAAUGACGGUAUCCGGAGAAGAAGCCCCGGCUAACUUCGUGCCAGCAGCCGCGGUAAUACGAAGGGGGCUAGCGUUGUUCGGAAUUACUGGGCGUAAAGCGCACGUAGGCGGAUAUUUAAGUCAGGGGUGAAAUCCCAGAGCUCAACUCUGGAACUGCCUCUGAUACUGGGUAUCUUGAGUAUGGAAGAGGUGAGUGGAAUUGCGAGUGUAGAGGUGAAAUUCGUAGAUAUUCGCAGGAACACCAGUGGCGAAGGCGGCUCACUGGUCCAUAACUGACGCUGAGGUGCGAAAGCGUGGGGAGCAAACAGGAUUAGAUACCCCUGUAGU